GAUGAACGCUGACAGAAUGCUUAACACAUGCAAGUCUACUUGAACUUCGGUUUGGGUGGCGGGCGGGUGAGUAACGCGUAAAGAACUUGCCUCACAGUUAGGGACAACAUUUGGAAACGAAUGCUAAUACCUGAUAUUAUGAUUUUAGGGCAUCCUAGGAUUAUGAAAGCUAUAUGUGCUGUGAGAGAGCUUUGCGUCCCAUUAGCUAGUUGGAGAGGUAACGGCUCACCAAGGCGAUGAUGGGUAGCCGGCCUGAGAGGGUGAACGGCCACAAGGGGACUGGGACCCGGCCUUUCCUCCUCCGGGGGGAAGCAUGGGGGAAUAUUGGACAAUGGCCCAAAAGUCUGAUCAGGCAAUUCUGUGUGCAAAAUGACGUUUUUCGGAAUGAAAAUUGUUUUCAGUUGGAAAGAAAAAAAUGACGGUCCCAAAAGAAGAAGGGACGGCUAAAUACGU
This 453-nucleotide ribosomal RNA is filed under the name uncultured bacterium. Its description in RNAcentral is "partial 16S ribosomal RNA". It matches the Rfam family "Bacterial small subunit ribosomal RNA", at positions 28 to 506 of the family's 1533-position model. The record is from RNAcentral.